UACGAAGGGGGCUAGCGUUGCUCGGAAUCACUGGGCGUAAAGGGCGCGUAGGCGGCGUUUUUAAGUCGGGGGUGAAAGCCUGUGGCUCAACCACAGAAUUGCCUUCGAUACUGGGACGCUUGAGUGUGGUAGAGGUUGGUGGAACUGCGAGUGUAGAGGUGAAAUUCGUAGAUAUUCGCAAGAACACCGGUGGCGAAGGCGGCCAACUGGACCAUCACUGACGCUGAGGCGCGAAAGCGUGGGAGCAAACAGG
Molecule: ribosomal RNA, 253 nt
Filed under: uncultured bacterium
Lineage: Bacteria
Description: partial 16S ribosomal RNA
Rfam family: Bacterial small subunit ribosomal RNA
Source: RNAcentral